This 207-nucleotide ribosomal RNA is filed under the name uncultured bacterium. RNAcentral's name for it is "partial 16S ribosomal RNA". It matches the Rfam family "Bacterial small subunit ribosomal RNA", at positions 568 to 774 of the family's 1533-position model. The record is from RNAcentral.
CUCGUAGGCGGCCAACUAAGUCAGACGUGAAAUCCCCAGGCUCAACCUGGGAACUGCGUCUGAUACUGGAUGGCUUGAAUCCGGGAGAGGGAUGCAGAAUUCCAGGUGUAGCGGUGAAAUGCGUAGAUAUCUGGAGGAAUACCGGUGGCGAAGGCGGCAUCCUGGACCGGCAUUGACGCUGAGGAGCGAAAGCCAGGGGAGCAAACG